Salmo salar (Atlantic salmon) is the source of this 54-nucleotide non-coding RNA. The record is from Rfam. Lineage: Eukaryota; Metazoa; Chordata; Actinopteri; Salmoniformes; Salmonidae.
UGAAGUCACUAUUGUAAGUCGGUUUGGAUAAAACUGUCUGCUAAAUGUCCUAUU